This 3035-nucleotide ribosomal RNA is filed under the name Proteus terrae subsp. cibarius. Its description in RNAcentral is "Proteus cibarius 23S ribosomal RNA". It matches the Rfam family "Bacterial large subunit ribosomal RNA". Lineage: Bacteria; Pseudomonadati; Pseudomonadota; Gammaproteobacteria; Enterobacterales; Morganellaceae. The record is from RNAcentral.
GGGUUGUGAGGUUAAGCGAAUAAGCGUACACGGUGGAUGCCUAGGCAAUCAGAGGCGAUGAAGGACGUGCUAAUCUGCGAUAAGCGUCGGUAAGGUGAUAUGAACCGUUAUACCCGACGAUUUCCGAAUGGGGAAACCCAAUAUCCAAUGGAUAUUAUCAUUAACUGAAUACAUAGGUUAAUGAAGCGAACCGGGAGAACUGAAACAUCUCAGUACCCCGAGGAAAAGAAAUCAACCGAGAUUCCCCUAGUAGCGGCGAGCGAACGGGGAACAGCCCAGAGUCUUAAUCAAUAGCAGCAUCAGGAGAACGGUCUGGAAAGUCCGGCAGUAAAGGGUGAUAGCCCCGUAUCCGAAGAUGCUGUUAUUGUGAACUCGACGAGUAGGGCGGGACACGUGUUAUCCUGUCUGAAUAUGGGGGGACCAUCCUCCAAGGCUAAAUACUCCUGAUUGACCGAUAGUGAACCAGUACCGUGAGGGAAAGGCGAAAAGAACCCCGGCGAGGGGAGUGAAAAAGAACCUGAAACCGUGUACGUACAAGCAGUAGGAGCCCCACCACUAAGCUAGUGGUGAACUCACAGCGAUUCUUUUGCAUGAUAAUGUGCGGUAGACGGAGCGAAUGCGACGUCCAACCAACAAAAUCAAGCAGAGGAGGCUUAGUGGUGGGGUGACUGCGUACCUUUUGUAUAAUGGGUCAGCGACUUAUAUUCUGUAGCAAGGUUAACCGUAUAGGGGAGCCGUAGGGAAACCGAGUCUUAACUGGGCGAAUGAGUUGCAGGGUAUAGACCCGAAACCCGGUGAUCUAUCCAUGGGCAGGUUGAAGGUUGGGUAACACUAACUGGAGGACCGAACCGACUAAUGUUGAAAAAUUAGCGGAUGACUUGUGGAUGGGGGUGAAAGGCCAAUCAAACCGGGAGAUAGCUGGUUCUCCCCGAAAGCUAUUUAGGUAGCGCCUCGUGAACUCAUCUUCGGGGGUAGAGCACUGUUUCGACUAGGGGGUCAUCCCGACUUACCAACUCGAUGCAAACUGCGAAUACCGAAGAAUGUUAUCACGGGAGACACACGGCGGGUGCUAACGUCCGUCGUGAAGAGGGAAACAACCCAGACCGCCAGCUAAGGUCCCAAAGUCAUGGUUAAGUGGGAAACGAAGUGGGAAGGCUCAGACAGCCAGGAUGUUGGCUUAGAAGCAGCCAUCAUUUAAAGAAAGCGUAAUAGCUCACUGGUCGAGUCGGCCCGCGCGGAAGAUGUAACGGGGCUAAACCAUGCACCGAAGCUGCGGCAGCAACACUAAGUGUUGUUGGGUAGGGGAGCGUUCUGUAAGCCUGCGAAGGUGUACUGUGAGGUAUGCUGGAGGUAUCAGAAGUGCGAAUGCUGACAUAAGUAACGAUAAUGCGGGUGAAAAACCCGCACGCCGGAAGACCAAGGGUUCCUGUCCAACGUUAAUCGGGGCAGGGUGAGUCGACCCCUAAGGCGAGGCUGAAAAGCGUAGUCGAUGGGAAACGGGUUAAUAUUCCCGUACUGGUGGUAACUGCGAUGGGGGAACGGAGAAGGCUAGGUUGUCCGGGCGACGGUCGUCCCGGUUCAAGCAUGUAGGCAGAGUGAUUAGGCAAAUCCGGUCACUUAAUGCUGAGGUGUGAUGACGAACCACUAAGGUGGUGAAGCAAUUGAUGCCCUGCUUCCAGGAAAAGCCUCUAAGCUUCAGGUUACCAACAAUCGUACCCCAAACCGACACAGGUGGUCAGGUAGAGAAUACUCAGGCGCUUGAGAGAACUCGGGUGAAGGAACUAGGCAAAAUGGUGCCGUAACUUCGGGAGAAGGCACGCUGGCGGUAAGUGAAGUCCCUUGCGGACGGAGCCGAAGCCAGUCGAAGAUACCAGCUGGCUGCAACUGUUUAUUAAAAACACAGCACUGUGCAAACACGAAAGUGGACGUAUACGGUGUGACGCCUGCCCGGUGCUGGAAGGUUAAUUGAUGGGGUUAUCCUUAGGGAGAAGCUCUUGAUCGAAGCCCCAGUAAACGGCGGCCGUAACUAUAACGGUCCUAAGGUAGCGAAAUUCCUUGUCGGGUAAGUUCCGACCUGCACGAAUGGCGUAAUGAUGGCCAGGCUGUCUCCACCCGAGACUCAGUGAAAUUGAACUCGCUGUGAAGAUGCAGUGUACCCGCGGCAAGACGGAAAGACCCCGUGAACCUUUACUAUAGCUUGACACUGAACAUUGAGCCUUGAUGUGUAGGAUAGGUGGGAGACUAUGAAGUGUGGACGCCAGUCUGCAUGGAGUCAACCUUGAAAUACCACCCUUUAACGUUUGAUGUUCUAACCUAGGUCCAUAAUCUGGAUCGGGGACCGUGUCUGGUGGGUAGUUUGACUGGGGCGGUCUCCUCCUAAAGAGUAACGGAGGAGCACGAAGGUUGGCUAAGCAUGGUCGGACAUCAUGCGGUUAGUGCAAAGGCAUAAGCCAGCUUGACUGUGAGAGUGACGGCUCGAGCAGGUACGAAAGUAGGUCUUAGUGAUCCGGUGGUUCUGAAUGGAAGGGCCAUCGCUCAACGGAUAAAAGGUACUCCGGGGAUAACAGGCUGAUACCGCCCAAGAGUUCAUAUCGACGGCGGUGUUUGGCACCUCGAUGUCGGCUCAUCACAUCCUGGGGCUGAAGUAGGUCCCAAGGGUAUGGCUGUUCGCCAUUUAAAGUGGUACGCGAGCUGGGUUUAGAACGUCGUGAGACAGUUCGGUCCCUAUCUGCCGUGGGCGUUGGAAGAUUGAGAGGGGUUGCUCCUAGUACGAGAGGACCGGAGUGAACGCACCACUGGUGUUCGGGUUGUCAUGCCAAUGGCAUUGCCCGGUAGCUAAGUGCGGAAGAGAUAACCGCUGAAAGCAUCUAAGCGGGAAACUUGCCUCGAGAUGAGUCUUCCCUGUCACCUAGAGUGACCUAAAGGAACGUUUAAGACUAAGACGUUGAUAGGCUGGGUGUGUAAGCGUAGCGAUACGUUGAGCUAACCAGUACUAAUGAACCGUGAGGCUUAACCUGACAACACCGAAGGUGUUU